RNAcentral lists this ribosomal RNA (590 nucleotides) under Morchella sp. RNAcentral describes it as "partial large subunit ribosomal RNA". It matches the Rfam family "Eukaryotic large subunit ribosomal RNA", at positions 67 to 671 of the family's 3401-position model. Lineage: Eukaryota; Fungi; Ascomycota; Pezizomycetes; Pezizales; Morchellaceae. The record is from RNAcentral.
GCCAAGGCAUGCUCAGUACGGCGAGUGAGCGGCAAAAGCUCAAAUUUUAAAGCUGGCACCUUCGGUGUCCGCGUUGUAAUUUUGUGAGGCAUCUCCGGGUAGGGCGCCGGCCUAAGUUCCUUGGAACAGGACGUCAUAGAGGGUGAGAAUCCCGUGCUUGGCUGGCUGUCCCCGUCCAUGUGAGGUGUCUUCGACGAGUCGAGUUGUUUGGGAAUGCAGCUCAAAAUGGGUGGUAAAUUUCAUCUAAAGCUAAAUAUUGGUGGGAGACCGAUAGCGCACAAGUAGAGUGAUCGAAAGAUGAAAAGCACUUUGAAAAUAGAGUUAAAAAGUACGUGAAAUUGUUGAAAGGGAAGCGCUUGAGACCAGACUUCGGUGGGGGGUGAUCAGCUGUCCUUCUGGGCGGUGCACUUGCUCCCCUCCGGGCCAGCAUCGGUUGGGGCGGCGGGAUAAAGAUCCCGGGAAUGUGGCUCCUUUCGGGGAGUGUUAUAGCCCGGGUGAAUGCCGCCAGUUCCGACCGAGGACCGCGCCUUCGGGCUAGGAUGCUUGGCAUAAUGGUCUUCAGCGACCCGUCUUGAAACCACGGACCAAUA